RNAcentral lists this ribosomal RNA (406 nucleotides) under uncultured bacterium. Its description in RNAcentral is "partial 16S ribosomal RNA". It matches the Rfam family "Bacterial small subunit ribosomal RNA", at positions 30 to 526 of the family's 1533-position model. The record is from RNAcentral.
AUUGAACGCUGGCGGCAGGCCUAACACAUGCAAGUCGAACGAGUGGCGAACGGGUGAGUAAUAUAUCGGAACGUACCGAGUAAUGGGGGAUAACCAAUCGAAAGAUAGGCUAAUACCGCAUAUUAUUCGAGCGGCCGAUAACUGAUUCGCUAGUGGGUGGGGUAAAGGCCUACCAAGGCGACGAACAUUAGCGGGGCUGAGAGGACGCUCCGCCACACUGUGACUGAGAAACUGCCCAGACUCCUCCGGGAGGAAGCAUUGGGGAAUUUUGGACAAUGGGGGCAACCCUGAUCCAGCCAUGCCGCGUGUAUGAAGAAGGCCUUCGGGUUGUAAAGUACUUUUGUUAGGGAAGCGGUACCUAAAGAAUAAGCACCGGCUAACUACGUGCCAGCAGCCGCGGUAAUAC